RNAcentral lists this ribosomal RNA (990 nucleotides) under Sporidesmium aquaticum. RNAcentral describes it as "eukaryotic LSU rRNA". It matches the Rfam family "Eukaryotic large subunit ribosomal RNA", at positions 395 to 1411 of the family's 3401-position model. Lineage: Eukaryota; Fungi; Ascomycota; Sordariomycetes; Sporidesmiaceae. The record is from RNAcentral.
GCACGUGAAAUUGUUGAAAGGGAAAGCGUUGUGACCAGACUUGCGCCCGGUGAAUCAUCCAGCUCUCUGCGCUGGUGCACUUUGCCGGGCUCAGGCCAGCAUCGGUCUCCUUUAGGGGGAUAAAAGCUCCGGGAACGUAGCUCUUUCGGGAGUGUUAUAGCCCGCUGCAGAAUACCCCUCGGGGGACCGAGGUUCGCGCUCCGCAAGGAUGCUGGCGUAAUGGUUACCAACGGCCCGUCUUGAAACACGGACCAAGGAGUCAAGCAUUAGGGCGAGUGUUUGGGUGUCAAACCCGCACGCGUAAUGAAAGUGAAUGCAGGUGAGAGCUUCGGCGCAUCAUCGACCGAUCCUGAUGUAUUCGGAUGGAUUUGAGUAAGAGCCUUACCGCUUGGACCCGAAAGAUGGUGAACUAUGCCUGUAUAGGGUGAAGCCAGAGGAAACUCUGGUGGAGGCUCGCAGCGGUUCUGACGUGCAAAUCGAUCGUCAAAUAUGGGCAUGGGGGCGAAAGACUAAUCGAACUAUCUAGUAGCUGGUUGCUGCCGAAGUUUCCCUCAGGAUAGCAGUGUUGUUUUCAGUUUUAUGAGGUAAAGCGAAUGAUUAGGGACUCGGGGGCGCUAUUUAGCCUUCAUCCAUUCUCAAACUUUAAAUAUGUAAGAAGCCCUUGUUACUUUAGUGAACGCGGGCCUUCGAAUGUAUCAACACUAGUGGGCCAUUUUUGGUAAGCAGAACUGGCGAUGCGGGAUGAACCGAACGCGGGUUUAAGGUGCCAGAGUGGACGCUCAUCAGACACCACAAAAGGCGUUAGUACAUCUUGACAGCAGGACGGUGGCCAUGGAAGUCGGAAUCCGCUAAGGACUGUGUAACAACUCACCUGCCGAAUGUACUAGCCCUGAAAAUGGAUGGCGCUCAAGCGUCCCACCCAUAACCCGCCCUUAGGGUAGAAACGAUGCCCUAAGGAGUAGGCAGCCGUGGAGGUUUGUGACGAAGCCU